Molecule: ribosomal RNA, 637 nt
Filed under: Lactifluus albopicrus
Lineage: Eukaryota; Fungi; Basidiomycota; Agaricomycetes; Russulales; Russulaceae
Description: partial large subunit ribosomal RNA
Source: RNAcentral
UUUGGGAAUGCAGCUCAAAAUGGGUGGUGAACUCCAUCUAAAGCUAAAUAUUGGCGAGAGACCGAUAGCGAACAAGUACCGUGAKGGAAAGAUGAAAAGCACUUUGGAAAGAGAGUGAAACAGUACGUGAAAUUGUUGAAAGGGAAACGCUUGAAGUCAGUCGCGUCGAUCGAGACUCAGCCUUGCCUGGGCUUGGCAUACUUCUCGGCUGACGGGCCAGCAUCAAUUUUGUCUCUCGGAUAAUGACAGGGGAAAGGUGGCACCUUUACCGGUGUGUUAUAGUCUCCUGUCGCAUGCGAGGGGUGGGAUUGAGGAACUCAGCACGCACCUCUUGGUGUCGGGGCUUCUGCCCACGCUACGUGCUUAGGAUGUUGGCGUAAUGGCUUUAAACGACCCGUCUUGAAACACGGACCAAGGAGUCUAACAUGCCCGCGAGUGUUCGGGUGGAAAACCCGUGCGCGUAAUGAAAGUGAAAGUUGGGACCUCUAUCGUGGAGGGCACCGACGCCCGGACCAGACCUUCUGUGACGGAUCUGCGGUAGAGCGUGCAUGUUGGGACCCGAAAGAUGGUGAACUAUGCCUGAAUAGGGUGAAGCCAGAGGAAACUCUGGUGGAGGCUCGUAGCGAUUCUGACGUGC